UGUUCUUGAAAGUUCUUGAAAAUGGCUUCAGUACAGUGGCCGACUUUCAAUUUUGUGCACAAUUUUGAUUCAGCUGUUUGACCAGCUGGUCCAUGUAAACUGAACAAACUCAGUUAAUUUUAUAAUCAGGAGUUC
Molecule: long non-coding RNA, 135 nt
Organism: Bradysia coprophila
Lineage: Eukaryota; Metazoa; Arthropoda; Insecta; Diptera; Sciaridae
Source: RefSeq, a predicted model, not a curated record